RNAcentral lists this long non-coding RNA (225 nucleotides) under Fukomys damarensis (Damara mole-rat). Its description in RNAcentral is "lncRNA (ENSFDAG00000024929.1)". Lineage: Eukaryota; Metazoa; Chordata; Mammalia; Rodentia; Bathyergidae. The record is from RNAcentral.
AGAGACCUCCCUUAGGGACAAAAGCCUCCUCCAUCUUGGGCACAAAGAAGUCUCAAUAUCAGCACAGCAUGAGGUUCCCUGACCAUGCCAGCACUGACCAGAAGAGAAGCUGACCAAUCCACCAACCUGAUCAUGGACCAUGCCAGUCCCCCAGAAGAGAAGGUACAUCUUUCCAUCACCCUCUUCAGCUGACCAAUAAAUAAGCGGGGCCUGAGCCAAGAUCUC